RNAcentral lists this unclassified non-coding RNA (430 nucleotides) under soil metagenome. RNAcentral's name for it is "partial contains 5.8S ribosomal RNA, internal transcribed spacer 2, and large subunit ribosomal RNA". The stretch from base 1 to 120 matches the Rfam family "5.8S ribosomal RNA", at positions 35 to 154 of the family's 154-position model. The record is from RNAcentral.
GAUGAAGAACGUAGCGAAAUGCGAUACGUAAUGUGAAUUGCAGAAUUCAGUGAAUCAUCGAACCUUUGAACGCAUAUUGCGCUCUCUGGUAUUCCGGAGAGCAUGCUUGUUUGAGUAUCAGUAAACACCUCAACUCUUUUUUCUUUUUUGAAAUUGGAGCUGGACUUGAGUGAUCCCAACGCUUUCUUCCAAGAAAGUGGCGGGUUGCUUGAAAUGCAGGUGCAGCUGAACUUUUCUCUGAGCUAUAAGCAUAUCUAUUUAGUCUGCCUAAAAAACAGAUUAUUACCUUUGCUGCAGCUAACAUAAAGGAGACUAGUUCUUGUGCUGACUGAUGCAGGAUUCACAGAGACAGCUUCGGCUGACUUUGUAAACUCGAUCUCAAAUCAAGUAAGACUACCCGCUGAACUUAAGCAUAUCAAUAAGCGGAGGA